Molecule: transfer RNA, 73 nt
Filed under: Deinococcus maricopensis DSM 21211
Lineage: Bacteria; Thermotogati; Deinococcota; Deinococci; Deinococcales; Deinococcaceae
Rfam family: tRNA
About the family: Transfer RNA (tRNA) molecules are approximately 80 nucleotides in length. Their secondary structure includes four short double-helical elements and three loops (D, anti-codon, and T loops).
Source: Rfam by way of RNAcentral
GGGUCGUUAGCUCAAUUGGUAGAGCAGCUGACUCUUAAUCAGCGGGUUGUAGGUUCAAGUCCUACACGACCCA